UUUGGAGAGUUUGAUCCUGGCUCAGAUUGAACGCUGGCGGCAGGCCUAACACAUGCAAGUCGAGCGGAAACGAGUUAUCUGAACCUUCGGGGNACGAUAACGGCGUCGAGCGGCGGACGGGUGAGUAAUGCCUAGGAAAUUGCCCUGAUGUGGGGGAUAACCAUUGGAAACGAUGGCUAAUACCGCAUAANGCCUACGGGCCAAAGAGGGGGACCUUCGGGCCUCUCGCGUCAGGAUAUGCCUAGGUGGGAUUAGCUAGUUGGUGAGGUAAUGGCUCACCAAGGCGACGAUCCCUAGCUGGUCUGAGAGGAUGAUCAGCCACACUGGAACUGAGACACGGUCCAGACUCCUACGGGAGGCAGCAGUGGGGAAUAUUGCACAAUGGGCGCAAGCCUGAUGCAGCCAUGCCGCGUGUGUGAAGAAGGCCUUCGGGUUGUAAAGCACUUUCAGUCGUGAGGAAGGUGGUAGNGUUAAUAGC
RNAcentral lists this ribosomal RNA (478 nucleotides) under Vibrio harveyi. Its description in RNAcentral is "bacterial SSU rRNA". It matches the Rfam family "Bacterial small subunit ribosomal RNA", at positions 1 to 467 of the family's 1533-position model. The record is from RNAcentral. Lineage: Bacteria; Pseudomonadati; Pseudomonadota; Gammaproteobacteria; Vibrionales; Vibrionaceae.